Molecule: unclassified non-coding RNA, 556 nt
Filed under: Leishmania donovani
Lineage: Eukaryota; Euglenozoa; Kinetoplastea; Trypanosomatida; Trypanosomatidae
Description: gene:unknown
Source: RNAcentral
CUGCGGUGCAGAAGGUGUGUCACGAGGGGAGAUUCCAUGAGGAAGCACGCACGUCAAGAAAAGGAGCCAAAAAGCACGUAGAUGUAUGAUUAUAUUUUUGAAUUAUUUUUUUUUUAAUUAGAUACAACACCACACGACUGUCGUCAACGCACCAUCCUUUACAGGCACACAAAACAUUACCGGACGCGACGAAGUGUGCGCACGCCACCCAGCAAGACACGUGGAGCCGCCCAUCUAACUAGCGAUUGCAUCCUGCGACUCUGCGUGCGCACCUUCUUGGACACGCUUGUAAGCCACACAGUAGCGCUUACCCGCUGUUCUGAUUCUCCCUUUUUCCUUUGCGAGGAGGAACUCUUGGCGCGCUGCUUUUUUUGAGUGCCUCUCCCUGCCCGCCUACUUGGUUACACCGUCUGCCGUUCGUCCAACUAACCACCCCGCCCACCCUUGCUGUGUAGUUGGUGUCGGUUCGGAUAAGUUUCGCUGUCUCCACAGCGCCGAGUCGCUGCCGGGUAUAUGUAUACAUAUAUAUUCCUGCCUUCUUCCCACACUUUACCAG